CUCCCCCCUCGCGCACCAGCCGGAAGCGCCCCCGGGCCCCGGCCCCGGGGGGGUCCCCCGCGCCCGGGCCGCCCCGGGGGGGGGGGG
This 87-nucleotide transfer RNA is filed under the name Streptomyces geysiriensis. RNAcentral describes it as "tRNA-Arg". Lineage: Bacteria; Bacillati; Actinomycetota; Actinomycetes; Kitasatosporales; Streptomycetaceae. The record is from RNAcentral.